UGCUUCUUUUCAUUAGGAUUCUCU
RNAcentral lists this non-coding RNA (24 nucleotides) under Arabidopsis thaliana (thale cress). Lineage: Eukaryota; Viridiplantae; Streptophyta; Magnoliopsida; Brassicales; Brassicaceae. The record is from RNAcentral.